GACAGAGGUGGCUAGCGUUGUUCGGUGUCACUGGGCUUAAAGGGUGUGUAGGCGGAAUUAUAAGCGUUUUGUUAAAGCCCCCGGCUUAACCGGGGAAUCGCAGGACGGACUGUAAUUCUUGAGGCAAGUAGGGGUGCACGGAACUCUUGGUGGAGCGGUGGAAUGCGUAGAUAUCAAGAGGAACGCCGGUGGUGAAGACGGUGCACUGGGCUUGUCCUGACGCUGAGACACGAAAGCGUGGGGAGCAAACGGG
RNAcentral lists this ribosomal RNA (253 nucleotides) under uncultured bacterium. RNAcentral's name for it is "partial 16S ribosomal RNA". It matches the Rfam family "Bacterial small subunit ribosomal RNA", at positions 524 to 776 of the family's 1533-position model. The record is from RNAcentral.